This is a long non-coding RNA of Haliotis rubra (blacklip abalone), 632 nucleotides long. RefSeq lists it as uncharacterized. The record is from RefSeq and is a predicted model, not a curated record. The transcript is spliced from 5 exons. NCBI's taxonomy places the organism in Eukaryota, Metazoa, Mollusca, Gastropoda, Lepetellida, Haliotidae.
UUGGGUUAUAAAAUCCUCAUCGUAGUCCUCACAACUACCAUUACAUCAUGACAUAGAACACCCCUAGGGCUACCAGGUGUCUUUACAUCCAGCUAUAGAACACCCCUAGGGCAACCAGGUGUCUUUACAUCCAGCUAUAGAACACCCCUAGGGCAACCAGGUGUCUUCUACACCCAGCAUAACAUCCAGCUAUAGAACACCCCUAGGGCAACCAGGUGUCUUCUACACCCAGCAUAACAUCCAGCUAUAGAAAACCCCUAGGGCAACCAGGUGUCUUCUACACCCAGCAUAACAUCCAGCUAUAGAACACCCCUAGGGCAACCAGGUGUCUUCUACACCCAGCAUAACAUCCAGCAAUAGAACACCCCUAGGGCAACCAGGUGUCUUUACAUCCAGCAAUAGAACACCCCUAGGGCAACCAGGUGUCUUCUACACCCAGCAUAACAUCCAGCUAUAGAACACCCCUAGGGCAACCAGGUGUGGCAGCUCCUGAUCAAGAAACUUACCAAUUGGUGCAAUGUUUGGCACAAACAGAUCACGCAGAUAGAUGUUUAUGAGCAACACAUUUUGAUUACAUAACCAAAAAAAAGAGUAUUUAUUCCAAGAACCAAACUUUCAGCACAUAAACCUAU